GGUGGGAUUUGUUUCCGUCCAGCUUGUUGUUGGCCCGUCAAAAUAUCUCCACUACCGAGGGUAGAUUCGACAUUUCCUCCCGCGUCGUUUCGGCCGGUGAGUGCGCUCGGCCGCUGUCGGCACGACAUUCGCGGAGGAGCUCUGCCUGGGAGAGAGGCCCUUUUAGUGCGCCGGCGUCGACCCCCGUGCCCAUCCGCCUCACUUCUCCCUCGCCGCUCUACCUUCACCCACGCUGUCCUCUCCUGCUCGCCUAGUCCGCCCGGUCGCUGCGCCGUCGAUCCGCCGCGCCCGUGUCAACCGCUUACUCAGCGUCGUCGGCGGCCGCAUGCGUGCUCCAUGGCGGCGCUAUGCCGUGAGCUUGGUUGAGGUCGUCGUCUCGCUGGGAUUGCCGCGUGGGGUUGAGCGGCUGCAUCUGUUGGAUUUCUGCUCGCCUGUACUGUCGGUUAUUUGCUGCUGUGAGCUGUUCUUGGAACCGUACGUGAGUUGUUGCUGGGAGUCCUUGUUUGUCAGGCGAAACUGAUCAAGCUGAGCAGCAUUAUAAUAGAUGCAAAAUCUAUGGUUACUGGGGCAGGACACCGAGCUAAGGAAGCAAUAUUUGCACCAAGAUAGAUAAAACUCGGUAUUUAUGCUUAUGGAAUAAAAGGCUUCACCCCAUGUUCAUUCACAGCUAACUCCUGGUUCUACAGAGAUAACUCCUGCAUGGUGAGAAGAUCUUCACUAAAGGCAUGGUUUGAAGGGCUAUACCAUUAUCUGGUGAAGACCAUCAGUGAUCAGAACUAUAGGGCCAACCCUGCAUGUGUCAGGUAUAAUAUCUAUGACAUUUAUCUAAUACAGGUAAGAUGCUUUUUUGUGUACAAUGAAAUUUUUUUGAAGUGUUUGCCUUCUUUAAUUUCUACACAAUUAAUAAGGUACAAUGAUUAUAAAAUUGGAUGACAAGUACCGCAACAUUAAAAAUGAACGCUGUGAAGCUGAAAGUUUUUUUUCAUUGUAAUGUGCUUCAGUGCUUUUUAAAAUUCGAGACUCACCACCUAUCUUUAUAACAGGGGUUCCUUCCCCUGUUGGUUUGUUUUUGAUCUUCCAAAAAAAGGAAAUCAAUCAUGAGCAAGUUCUUGAUAAAAGAUAGGUUGUCGUUCAGGUGUGUUUAUGUACUAUCAUACCUAAGGCCUGGUUUGGUUAUAACAAGCAGCUCCGCUAUUAGUUAAUAUAUAUAAGCCGAUCCUCAAUAGGUACUAAUUUCCUAGAAAAUUUGGCUUAACAAUUUUGCCAGCAAAUGAUAUGUGUGAGUUGCAAAAAUAACACAAUAAUUUCUUAUUUAAUGUGUGAACUAAGCCAAGGGAGAUGACCAUAAAAAGACAGAGCGGCUAUUUAUGAAUAUAAUUUGGCUGACUACAAAUUCAACUUGCUUCGUAGUUACUUUGGUUCCACAUAUAUUUACAUUUUAGCCUACUUUGUCCAGUGGCUCAAAGUAGACCCAUGUCCCUCUUUCCAAUAACUUUUUAUUUGUUGUUAGACUGAGCUACAACAUUUAGUUUGUACACAGUUUUGGUGAGCAGUGCUUUUGUUUACACAAUUAGUACUCUUUUCUAUAUGGCAUAAAGUCUUUCCUGGGCCCUGCACCGCCUCACGUGGCAUUGUGUUUGGCUAGGGUAACCCGAGUUUUAAAUGAGGUAUGUCACGUUGCUUCUAUUUGUCUGUUGAUGCAAAGUUCAUUAUUUUUGUUCCUAGAAUAAUCUGUGGAUAAGAAAGAUAGAAAGUAUUAUAGCAACCAUUUACAUCAACAUUCUUUAAGACUCUGAGUUCCUUCUUAGUCAAUGAAGGAUCAAACUGUAAAACCUGUGAGAAAAUUUUAAGAUUUUGGAGUACAAAAAUUACAGUAUAUCAUGGUUUUCAAGAAGCACUAAAAAAAAUUGCUAAAGACUUGAAGUGUUCAUUUAAAAAAUAAUCCGUAUAGAUAGAUUCAUUAUUUUAUCUUUGAAUAUACAUAGAUACAUCAUUUUAUCUUUGGUUAGGCUUGAAACAUUUAUUUUUGUAGUCUUUUAUUUUCUUAUUCCUGAAAGAUAAUUCAUCUUACUUGAUUUCUCUACUUCCCUGUCUAUCUUCUUUAUCCUGGAGAAAUAACUUUGUACUUGAUUUCUCUACUCUCCCAUUUAUCCUUGCUGAAAAGAAGAAUUUUUAUUAUCUCUAAAAGGCUCGUUGGAUGCACCAUCGUUAGACAUUACAGUAUAUACCCCACUUUGGGAAAUUUGCUGCAUUGCUUGGUUUCACUUUGUUCAGUAGUCUCAUGUUCUAUCUGCAGCUACUAAGCAUUGUGUAUCUUAACAACUUUAUUGUUGAGGGGUGUUUUAUUUUUGUGAUACCCACAACCUGCAGGUUGGAGGGGCCCGUGCAUUAUAAUAGCCAUAUGGGCAAACAUACAGAUUGUAGAUUUUCCUCUACUACUUCUUUAGAGCAUGGGUGUUCGUUGGAUAUACUGCCCAUAAGAAAAUGUGCUUUAUAUUGAUGGGCGCUUAAGGAAACCGCAUGGCUGUCCUCAAGGAUCAAAUUAAUGAAGAUGAUGAUGAUAUAUCAUUAUUUCUCUUUUGGGACAACGAAUCAGAAGUAGUAUAUGCCAUACUGCAAUUCUUGUCAUAGCAGGUGACAAAAGGAGGAUCUAUUCUAUUUGGACUUGCUAAUUAUUAAUCCGCCUUGAUGGAUCUUAUGUACGAACCUGGAGGGAGAGGGGUCUUAAUAUGAGCAACGUCCAGUGAGUUGUGUUGAUGUACUACCAGAAAACAAAAGAAAAGAUCCAUUAAUAUCUUAAAAUUGUAGAGUUUUUCUCAUUUAUUUUUAAGUGUAUUACAGAAUGAUCAUCACUACAUUUUCGUAAGCAUACGAAAAUUAGUAUCAUUUUCCAACUUAUACACGAACUUCACGGGA
Molecule: non-coding RNA, 2916 nt
Organism: Lolium perenne
Lineage: Eukaryota; Viridiplantae; Streptophyta; Magnoliopsida; Poales; Poaceae
Source: RefSeq, a predicted model, not a curated record